RNAcentral lists this ribosomal RNA (468 nucleotides) under uncultured bacterium. RNAcentral's name for it is "partial 16S ribosomal RNA". It matches the Rfam family "Bacterial small subunit ribosomal RNA", at positions 28 to 507 of the family's 1533-position model. The record is from RNAcentral.
GACGAACGCUGGCGGCGUGCUUAACACAUGCAAGUCGAACGAAAAGGCCCUGCUUUUGUUGGGUGCUCGAUUGGCGAACGGGUGAGUAACACGUGAGUAACAUCCCCUUGACUUUGUGAUAACUUCAGGAAACUGGGGCUAAUACCCGAUAGGAUCUACUGCUGCAUGGUGUGGGUUGGUAAGUUUCGGCUGUUGUGGCUGGACUCGCUGGUUAUCCGCUUGUUUGUGGGGUAGUUGCUUACCAAGGCUUUGAGGGGUAGCCGGCCUGAGAGGGGGACCGGCCACAUGGGGACUGAGAGACGGCCCAGAAGGCAACGGGAGGCAGCAGGGGGGAACAUGACAGAAUGGGGGGAAGCCUGAUGCAGAAACGCCGCGUGCGGGAUGAUGGCCUUCGGGGUGUAAACAGAUGUGGCAGGAGAUGAAGAGUGAGUGACGGUAAUGGGUAAAGAAGCAACGGCUAACUACGUG